ACCUGCGGAAGGAUCAUUACUGAACUGUCGAACAUGGGUUGUUGCUGGCCCCUGAAAGGGGGCAUGUGCACGCUCUGUUUACACAUCCACUCACACCUGUGCACCCUCCGUAGUUCUAUGGUCNGGAAGGCUUGUCUUUCCUCCAUCGGUCUGCGUCUUUACACACACACUUUGCGAUGUCUUGUGGAAUGUUUUCUGCGUCUAACGCAAUACAAUACAACUUUCAGCAACGUCUAAUUUGGCUCUCGCAUCGAUAAGGAACGCAGCGAAAUGCGAUAAGUAAUGUGAAUUGCAGAAUUCAGUGAAUCAUCGAAUCUUUGAACGCACCUUGCCCGCCUCGGUUAUUCCUUGGGGCAUGCCUGUUUGAGUAUCAUGAACACCUCAACUCUCAUGGUUUGCCGUGGAGAGCUUGGACUUUGGGGGCUUGCUGGCUGUUCGGUUCUCAGGUCAUAAAUGGAUCAGCUUGCCGGUGUUCGGCGGCGCCAUGGGUGUGAUAACUAUCUACGCUUGUGGUUGUCUGUCGGUUAGCCUUCUUUGUGGGGCUUGCUGGGGCUUACAAAUGUCUCUCCUUGUGAAGACAGCUUUGAACGUUCGAUCUCAAAUCAG
Molecule: ribosomal RNA, 606 nt
Filed under: Tomentella minispora
Lineage: Eukaryota; Fungi; Basidiomycota; Agaricomycetes; Thelephorales; Thelephoraceae
Description: eukaryotic LSU rRNA
Rfam family: 5.8S ribosomal RNA (bases 219-373)
Source: RNAcentral